GGCGGACGGGUGAGUAAUGCUUGGGAAUCUGGCUUAUGGAGGGGGAUAACUACGGGAAACUGUAGCUAAUACCGCGUAGUAUCGGAAGAUGAAAGACUGGGACCGCAAGGCCAGUUGCCAUAAGAUGAGCCCAAGUGGGAUUAGGUAGUUGGUGGGGUAAAGGCCUACCAAGCCGACGAUCUCUAGCUGGUCUGAGAGGAUGACCAGCCACACUGGAACUGAGACACGGUCCAGACUCCUACGGGAGGCAGCAGUGGGGAAUAUUGCGCAAUGGGGGGAACCCUGACGCAGCCAUGCCGCGUGAAUGAAGAAGGCCUUCGGGUUGUAAAGUUCUUUCGGUGAUGAGGAAGGUGUUUGUUUUAAUAGAGCAAGCAAUUGACGUUAGUCACAGAAGAAGCACCGGCUAACUCCGUGCCAGCAGCCGCGGUAAUACGGAGGGUGCGAGCGUUAAUCGGAAUAACUGGGCGUAAAGGGCACGCAGGCGGUGACUUAAGUGAGAUGUGAAAUCCCCGAGCUUAACUUGGGAACUGCAUUUCAGACUGGGUUGCUAGAGUAUUUUAGGGAGGGGUAGAAUUCCACGUGUAGCGGUGAAAUGCGUAGAGAUGUGGAGGAAUACCGAAGGCGAAGGCAGCCCCUUGGGAAUAUACUGACGCUCAUGUGCGAAAGCGUGGGGAGCAAA
Molecule: ribosomal RNA, 679 nt
Filed under: uncultured Actinobacillus sp.
Lineage: Bacteria; Pseudomonadati; Pseudomonadota; Gammaproteobacteria; Pasteurellales; Pasteurellaceae
Description: bacterial SSU rRNA
Rfam family: Bacterial small subunit ribosomal RNA
Source: RNAcentral